Molecule: long non-coding RNA, 694 nt
Organism: Bemisia tabaci
Lineage: Eukaryota; Metazoa; Arthropoda; Insecta; Hemiptera; Aleyrodidae
Source: RefSeq, a predicted model, not a curated record
AGUUUAAAAUAUAUGUUGCUGUAAGAACAGCCUCUCCCCAAAAUACUAAGUUCAACUUGGCUCCACUAAGCAUUGCACAAGCUCGCUCUGUAAUCGAUCUUAUCAUACGCGCUGACACUCCAUUUUGCUGUGGGGUUCGCGGGAUCGUAGGGUGAUACGUGAUGCCUCUUUGCACACAAAACUGUUUCAUCUCACUGGAAAAAUAUUCGCCACCAUUAUCGCAAAAUAGAUUAACUAAUUUUAAGUUAAAAUGUGCUUCACUCUUUGCAACAAAAUCUUUAAAAACAGAGAAAACAUCUGAUUUGUGUUGAAUCAGGGUGUUUACUAGAAAUCCGCGAAGCAGCGUUUUUCAAAGCAAAGCGAAGGCGACGCUUCAUAAUUUGCGAAGCAACUGCGAAGCGAAGCGGACAAGAAAAACACCUUCAAAUACGCUGGAUGCAACCCGCGGAAUUUCGUGACAUUCACUCCAGCGAGUCGCGACUCAUUGUCAGCGUGCGGCGGUGGUAAAUUUCGUUGAACACCGGGAAAUACAUGAAAAAUACACACAUUAAAAUUUCCCUCCUUUUCUCCUAAAUUUUAAGAAUAUAUUUUUAUUGAAAUGCCAGCAGAUCUAACAUUUUUGUUGUAAUUUUGUCAUCGGUUUUGCUUUCAUUAUAACGGAAUGAUAAAAAGUAAAAACGGUUUUAACUUUUUA